CCCACCACAAUAGCUGUGAGCUGCCACAGCAGGGCAUUGGCCUCCUGUUAAUUACCAGAAGGAAACAAUGAGCGGAAAUGGUAUUAGAAAUACCUCCAAGCCGAUAAGGCUUUGAAGAGUUUGGUGGGAGACCUCGGCCAGCUGCCAUAAUGGGCUGCCUUGCCCUCCCCACGCCCCCCACACCGCAACCACGAUCCUGCCCACACACAGGAUUCCAUACAGACAGGGGACGACCACGAACUCUGGCCGGCCCAGGGCAGGCUGGCCCAGGCCAGGGAAGAAUCCAGACCUGAUCAACACAGCUUCUGGAUCCGGCUUCCAAGGCCAGACACCGGGGAAGUUUGGAAAAACACCUCAACGUGAGCCAAAUUGGUGGCUGUGUUUGGAGAAAGAAGAGAAUGAUGCUUCCUCUCCACGCUAAGUGCUACAGUGAACAUCUUUGAAGCUGGAUCUAUGCGCAACCCUCAGGAUUAUUCCACUGCCUGAAAUUCCUAUGGAAGUUCUGGAUCAAUGGUCAUCUACAUUUUAAGGUCUUUGAUGAUAAGGUCGAGCAGGAUUUCAACAGUUCCAGGCUGCGAGCUGUCAGCAAAGAGGCCGACACAGGGCUCAAACC
Puma concolor (puma) is the source of this 613-nucleotide non-coding RNA. The record is from RefSeq and is a predicted model, not a curated record. Lineage: Eukaryota; Metazoa; Chordata; Mammalia; Carnivora; Felidae.